This 346-nucleotide unclassified non-coding RNA is filed under the name soil metagenome. RNAcentral's name for it is "partial contains 5.8S ribosomal RNA, internal transcribed spacer 2, and large subunit ribosomal RNA". The stretch from base 1 to 120 matches the Rfam family "5.8S ribosomal RNA", at positions 35 to 154 of the family's 154-position model. The record is from RNAcentral.
GAUGAAGAACGCAGCGAAAUGCGAUACGUAAUGUGAAUUGCAGAAUUCAGUGAAUCAUCGAGUCUUUGAACGCACAUUGCGCCCCCUGGUAUUCCGGGGGGCAUGCCUGUCCGAGCGUCAUUGCUGCCCUCAAGCCCGGCUUGUGUGUUGGGUCUCGUCCCCCUUCCCGGGGGGACGGGCCCGAAAGGCAGUGGCGGCACCGUGUCCGGUCCUCGAGCGUAUGGGGCUUUGUCACCCGCUCUGUAGGCCCGGCCGGCGCUUGCCGAUCAACCAAAACUUUUUUCCAGGUUGACCUCGGAUCAGGUAGGGAUACCCGCUGAACUUAAGCAUAUCAAUAAGCGGAGGA